RNAcentral lists this ribosomal RNA (197 nucleotides) under uncultured bacterium. RNAcentral's name for it is "partial 16S ribosomal RNA". It matches the Rfam family "Bacterial small subunit ribosomal RNA", at positions 1304 to 1500 of the family's 1533-position model. The record is from RNAcentral.
GCUGCAACCCGCCCUGCAUGAAGUCGGAAUUNCUAGUAAUCGCGGAUCAGCAUGCCGCGGUGAAUACGUUCCCGGGCCUUGUACACACCGCCCGUCACACCAUGGGAGCCGGUAAUACCCGAAGUCAGUAGUCCAACCACGUGAGGACGCUGCCGAAGGUAGGAUUGGCGACUGGGGUGAAGUCGUAACAAGGUAAC